Molecule: long non-coding RNA, 1573 nt
Organism: Zingiber officinale
Lineage: Eukaryota; Viridiplantae; Streptophyta; Magnoliopsida; Zingiberales; Zingiberaceae
Exons: 3
Source: RefSeq, a predicted model, not a curated record
GAAAAAUCUUAUUGGAUUUUUCAGGAAUAUUUAGAAAUUUUUUGGGAUUUAAACGGAGGUCGUAUGACCCAUUUCGAGGGGAUGGAUUCGGAGCUAAUUGGAGGCCUGUUUGGAAUACCCAUUUAAGUGGGAGUUGAUUUGGGAAUGGACUUAGGCUUUAAUUAAUCUAACCUAGGUUUUAUUUUUUUAAAUUUCUUUUCCUUUUCUCCUCCCCGAAUUCGCCCGAACUCUCCCCCUUUCCCCGAUCUCCUCUCCCGAGCCCUCUCUCGCACGACCUCUUCUUCCCCGAUCACGAGUCUUCUUCUUCGCGAGACCUCUUGCGAUUUCUCUCUCGGGCGAUCAUCGGCGCCGACAACCCUAGCUCUGGUUCAGUCGUCGCCCUCUCCCUUCUCUCUUGUCGUCGUGCCCUAGAUUGCCGACGCCGAGUCUUGCUCGCCGAGAUGCCUCCAGCACACCUUCAUCGCCAAUCAGGGGAGCAUCUGUUGGUGCAGAUCCGGUCGCCAAUGAUUCUUCUUCGACCUCCAACGAGAGAUGCCUAUUCCCUUUUGUGCGCCACCAACCAACGCGUGGAUCGACACCAACCCUAGUCGCGGACAUCUGGUGCUCACUAGAAGCUGUGUGCACGAACUGGAGACGAGGUUACUAGCUUUGAUCGUUGUGGCCAGCCGUUGCCCUCUUCCUUACGCACCUGUGCCCUAGAUCGGACCCCUCCACUCCGACCAACUGGUGCCAGUGAUUGUGGCUUCAUUGCGGUUGUCCUUCCCUUGCCAAGAAGUGUCUACAGAGGGAUUUUUGGCUACUUAUGGCUUGUUGCAAUCACUGGACCUCUACUUUGACCAUUGUCUUGCCCAAGAUCCAGUGCUGGACAUCAUUUUCUGGUUCUGAUAUGAAGUUGCUAGACAUCUUCCAAACAUCAUCGAUUUGGCUAGAAAUCAGGAUUCAACAGAGGGAUAUUGUUUGGGAGUUCAGCAGUCUCAUCUUGCCCUAGUUACCAAUUUCCAACAGCCAACAUUUUCGGCUUUGGAUCAACCACGGUGCAUCCGAAAUUGGGAUUUGGGUUUGAGGUGAGUGUCUCGAUGUGGGAUUGGUCUAUCUGACGCGAUCGACAGAUAAAGGCGGGUAUUUCUUCCUUGGCUCUAUGUAGAUUUUUAUUGAGCUUAGUGCAUGAUUUUAUGUGAUGGAUUAGGCUAUUGUACCUUAUAUCAUAUCCGUUUGUUGCUUUCCUGCUUGAUAUUUAUGCUUGAUCUUUGAGGUGUUCUAGUUAUAUCAUAUACAGUCUCUACUCUUGAUAUCUACUCUGCUAUGUUGACACGCGUAGAGUAUGUAUUGUAGGGAUUGUCGGGUUGUUUGUAGUAUCAUGCUGAUUGUGCAUAUGACGGGGAUUGUACGUAGGUUGGUAUGUGUUAUAGGAGUCCGCAUGUUGACUUUACAUUUAUAUGUUGUAUGUACGUACGUGUUUGGUUAUGUACUUUUGGAGGAAUUGUGUUGAUUGUAUGUUCGGAGUAUAUACACAUGUCCGUUGUGUUUUUAUUGGAGGAUACAUGUUGAUUGUACUUAUACUUUUGUGUACAUG